RNAcentral lists this non-coding RNA (22 nucleotides) under Arabidopsis thaliana (thale cress). Lineage: Eukaryota; Viridiplantae; Streptophyta; Magnoliopsida; Brassicales; Brassicaceae. The record is from RNAcentral.
GUCAUAUGUGUGUCCCAAUACA